UAUUUUUUUAUUAAUUAUUUUUUUUUAUUAAAGUUUUAUUUUUUUUAUUGUAACAAAAAUUUCUUGAUUUGAUAGACGAAAGUACCGUGAGGGGCUUAUAUAAAUAGAAAAUUAGAAUAAAUUUUUAGUACCUUUUGUAUCAGGGUUUAUUAAAAAUUAGGAUGUUUUUUUAAUUCCCGAUUCUUUAAGAUUUAAUUUUUUAUUAAUUUUAAUGUGGAAAAAUUAUUUUUAAUAAUUAAUUGGAAGUGAAAUGCUAUUCGUUUAAGGGGGUAUCUGGUUUUUGGAGAACUAAAUUUAAUUUAUCUUACCCAAAUUAAUUUAAUAAGUAGUAUUUAAUUUUAAUGGGUAAAGAAAAAUCUUUGGGGAUGAGCUUAAUGAUUAAAUUUUAAAAUUAUAUUUUUAAGUAAAUUUUGUAGGGUUAGAAAUUCUCAUUUUAAUUUGUUAUAAUAAUUUUUACAGAAUUAAGAUUUAUUUUUUAUUUAAUUUUUUUAUCCAAAAAUUUUUAUAAAUUAAUUUAAAAAAUUAAAAUGUUAAAAUUAGUAAAAAUAUUCUUUAAGAAAUAUUUUCCUAUAAAGAUAAUUUUAAGGAACUCGGCAAUUUAUUUUUCGCCUGUUUAUUAAAAACAUGUCCUCUUGAUUUUAAUUUGAGGUCUAAUCUGCCCUAUGAUUUUUUAAUGGCUGCAGUAUUUUGACUGUACAAAGGUAGCAUAAUAAUUAGGCUUUUAAUUGGGGUCUGGAAUGAAUGAUUUAACGAAAAAAUAUCUGUCUCACAAUUAAAUUUUUUAAUUUUAUUUUUAGGUUAAAAAGCCUAAAUUUUAUUUAAAGACGAGAAGACCCCAUAGAGUUUUAUUUUUUAGGUUAUUAAAUUUUUAGAAGUUAAAUUUUAAUAUACUGAAGAAAAUUUAGUUGGGGUGACUAAAAAAUUUGAAAAACUUUUUUUAAUUGUAUUCAUAAAUUAAUGUUUUUUUGAUCCUAUAUUUAGAUUAAAAGAAUUAAUUACCUUGGGGAUAACAGCGUUAUUCUUCUUUAGAGUUCUAAUCGAGAGAAGGGGUUGCGACCUCGAUGUUGGAUUAAAUUUUGCUGUUGGUGUAGGCGCUAAUGUGCUUGGUCUGUUCGACCAUUAAAAAUUUACAUGAUCUGAGUUUAGACCGGCGUGAGCCAGGUUAGUUUCUAUCUUAAAUUUUUUAAAAUAGUUUAGUACGAAAGGACCAUUUAUU
RNAcentral lists this ribosomal RNA (1216 nucleotides) under Staphylinoidea sp. 5 KM-2017. Its description in RNAcentral is "16S ribosomal RNA". The stretch from base 793 to 1216 matches the Rfam family "Bacterial large subunit ribosomal RNA", at positions 2048 to 2700 of the family's 2925-position model. The record is from RNAcentral. Lineage: Eukaryota; Metazoa; Arthropoda; Insecta; Coleoptera.